CAGAGGGGUGUGGGGGGGAAGUAAUAAUAAUAAGGCUGCCCCUUCAGAUGAUAUGUUGGGAGGAGGCUGGAGCUGGAAGAGCAACUGUGAUACUUGUGAUCACCAUGUGGUGAGCAGAGGAAACUCCCCUCUCUUCCACCCUCAUGUCAGGAGCCUGUGCUCAAGGAGCAAAGAUGUGUAAAUCACAGAAGAACUGCCCAUGAUUUUCAAGACUUCUCCUAUUCCACUGUUUGGACCUGCUACACCUGUAGCAGAGAAUCUGCCUUUCUGAGCACGUUUUGUUCUGAAGAUUUCAAGUUCUUCUUAUGUGACUUUUUUUUUUUUUUUUUUUUUCAAAAAUGACUGUGAUAAAGUGCCAGGAUACAAAUAAAUUGGUCACCAAGAUAAGGAGCCGAGUUAUUGCCAUCCAGUUCAGCAGUUCAUCCUGAAUCCAGCAAAUACACACAGAAGCUGCGUUCUUGACUCCUUCUGAACACCUGCCUACAGAUGCAUUGCAGAAGAUGUACAAAACCUAUAGAAAAAAAAUGAUCUGAGAAGGAUUUUAUUCAUUCUAUCCUUUUCUGAGAAGUGUGGAGGAGGACAUGGUAAUUUUUCAGCUCUAAAAGAUGCUUUUUACCUUAUUACAUGGGCAUUGCAUUAUAACAUUUUCUUGAGGGAAACAGUAAUCAAAAAUUCCAGAAAGAAAGAACAAACACAAGUUCCUUGCCUAAAACAAUCAUCCCCUG
Molecule: long non-coding RNA, 725 nt
Organism: Myiozetetes cayanensis
Lineage: Eukaryota; Metazoa; Chordata; Aves; Passeriformes; Tyrannidae
Exons: 4
Source: RefSeq, a predicted model, not a curated record